AAGAAGUUUAGACAAAAAUAAGUUUUCCAAUCAUUAGGUCACCAGGAAACUUACACAAAUGAAGCUUUCUGAGGAAUCCAUCUAUUUUGUUCCAGCUGAAGUUAAGAAUACUCUUUGCCUUGAAAAGUUCAGUGGCCCAGUGAUAGUUGUUGCCAUGACUGCAAAUGGGUGAGGCUGUAGUGAUAUUCUCCAAUUAAAGGAUCAGAACCUUGGGGCUGGGGUUCAGUGUAUAAAGCAUUUGUCAUGCAAGUUUGAGAACUGGUUCAGACCCCCAAACCCCAUAUAAGGCCAGGUGGGCAUAUUGGCUUGUCUGUAAUCUCAGCACUUGGGAGGCAGAGACAGGGUUCCCUGGGGCUUGUUGCCUAGCUAGACUAGCCCAGAGAUCCACCUUAGUAAUAAAGUAGAAGGUAAUGGAAGAUUACAGUGACAACCACCUCAGGCUUCCACACGCACAGGCACCUAUCUGCCCGUCCACAUACAUGCGAAACAACAAAACCCGUGACUUACUGGGUACUUUCUUGAAAGGUAUUUGAGGAUGCUGUAAAUAGCAUGACACCAACAGAGUGCUAUUUUAGUCUGGGGUGGGAUGUGCAGAAAGCAAAUAAACUUCCAGACUGUAAUGCCUGGUUGUUAGGCUUUCUUUGUCCCUCUUGGAGUCUGCACUCACCCAUAUGAUCUUGUUUUGUCUCCACUUGACAAGAGGCAGGGACAGGACACCAAUCAGUCGGUGACCUCUGGGUUCAGUCAAAAGACCCUGAUUCAGUAAGUUAUAGUAGGGUGUGAUCCAAACACCUGGCAUCUCCUGAGGGCCUCCACAUGUGUGCUCUCAUGUGUUUACUUGCACCCACAUACAAACAUGCCUACAUAUGCACACACAACACACACUCUGAGUUUAAAAUAUUUUGCAAACAAUUAGAAGUGAGACAUUUAUUUUUAAUAAUAAAUUUUAAAUGAACAGCUAGAAAAAAAACAAAACAGAAUCUUUGCAUGUCUGCGCUUAGCAAACCUGUGUGGAUGCUGACUCCUCAUAAGGAACAAACAAAUCUGAUGGGAGAUGUCCUUCUGUAUAUAUGUUUCUCUUAUUGGUUGAUGAGUAAAACACUGAUUGGCUGAUUGGCCAGGCAGGAAGUAUAGGCAGGGCUAGGAGAUGAGGAAAAUUCUGGGAAAUGUAGGUAGACAGAGUUGUCAUGUAGAGCCCGGGAAGAGAGGACGUGCCAGACGUCCUCCGGUAAGCCAAGACCAUGUGGAUAUACAUAGAUUAAUAGAAAUGGGUUAAUAAUUAGGCCAAUAAGAAGCCUAAGCCACCGGCCAACAGUUUUAUACCUCAUAUAGCGUAUGUGUGUUUAUUUGGGGUUGAGGCAGAUGUGGAACCAAUUGGCAGGGAAGAAUCUCCGCUUACACAAAUCACACCUUUAAAAUUGUUGAUGAUGGUUGAGAAGGUGUUGUGUGCUUCAGGACCCUGAGCCUUUUGGCUGUAAUCUCCUGGAUCUAUAUCCUGGAAAACUGUACCCCGGGUUGGAGAAGGAAGCCUUUUCCUUUGGCUGAUAUUCUGGCUGCCCUGGAAGAAGGCCCAAAGCAGAUGACUCCCUUGAUCCUGCUGGAAACUCAGAACGGGAAAACAUUAGGAGUGACUUCAGUGUGGAGUGAUUAGCCAUCAUUGGGUCACCUCCUGCUUGGAAAUCCUUUGGCUCUUGCCUGAGCCAUGGUCCUGGUUAAAGCAUGGUGAUGGGAUUGGUUCCACCAUUCCUCUCAGGACUCGCGGAGGCCCUCCUCUGACGCACAAGCACACACUCUGACUUAAACCUGGAAUGACAGCAGCUCUCUGGAAUUUUUUGAGACAAACUGAC
RNAcentral lists this long non-coding RNA (1847 nucleotides) under Cricetulus griseus (Chinese hamster). RNAcentral describes it as "lncRNA (ENSCGRG00015031255.1)". The record is from RNAcentral. Lineage: Eukaryota; Metazoa; Chordata; Mammalia; Rodentia; Cricetidae.